RNAcentral lists this ribosomal RNA (492 nucleotides) under uncultured bacterium. Its description in RNAcentral is "partial 16S ribosomal RNA". It matches the Rfam family "Bacterial small subunit ribosomal RNA", at positions 29 to 507 of the family's 1533-position model. The record is from RNAcentral.
AGUGAACGCUGGCGGUAGGCCUAACACAUGCAAGUCGAACGGCAGCACAGUAAGAGCUUGCUCUUACGGGUGGCGAGUGGCGGACGGGUGAGGAAUACAUCGGAAUCUACUUUUUCGUGGGGGAUAACGUAGGGAAACUUACGCUAAUACCGCAUACGACCUACGGGUGAAAGCAGGGGAUCUUCGGACCUUGCGCGAUUGAAUGAGCCGAUGUCGGAUUAGCUAGUUGGCGGGGUAAAGGCCCACCAAGGCGACGAUCCGUAGCUGGUCUGAGAGGAUGAUCAGCCACACUGGAACUGAGACACGGUCCAGACUCCUACGGGAGGUAGCAGUGGGGAAUAUUGGACAAUGGGCGCAAGCCUGAUCCAGCCAUGCCGCGUGGGUGAAGAAGGCCUUCGGGUUGUAAAGCCCUUUUGUUGGGAAAGAAAAGCAGCAGGUUAAUACCCCGCUGUUCUGACGGUACCCAAAGAAUAAGCACCGGCUAACUUCGUG